This 237-nucleotide ribosomal RNA is filed under the name uncultured Actinomycetales bacterium. Its description in RNAcentral is "partial 16S ribosomal RNA". It matches the Rfam family "Bacterial small subunit ribosomal RNA", at positions 96 to 334 of the family's 1533-position model. The record is from RNAcentral. Lineage: Bacteria; Bacillati; Actinomycetota; Actinomycetes; Actinomycetales.
UGGCGAACGGGUGAGUAACACGUGAGUAACCUGCCCUUGACUUUGUGAUAACUUCAGGAAACUGGGGCUAAUACCGGAUAGGAGCUCCUGCUGCAUGGUGGGGGUUGGAAAGUUUCGGCGGUUGGGGAUGGACUCGCGGCUUAUCAGCUUGUUGGUGGGGUAGUGGCUUACCAAGGCUUUGACGGGUAGCCGGCCUGAGAGGGUGACCGGCCACAUUGGGACUGAGAUACGGCCCAG